AGAUCUAGCUUGCUAGAUGCUGACGAGUGGCGCACGGGUGCGUAACGCGUAUACAAUCUACCCUUAACUGAGGGAUAGCCCAGAGAAAUUUGGAUUAAUACCUCAUAGUAUUAUAAUUAGGCAUCUUUUUAUAAUUAAAACUUCGGUGGUUAAAGAUGAGUAUGCGUACUAUUAGCUAGUUGGUAAGGUAAAAGCUUACCAAGGCAACGAUAGUUAGGGGGCCUGAAAGGGUGAUCCCCCACACUGGUACUGAGACACGGACCAGACUCCUACGGGAGGCAGCAGUGAGGAAUAUUGCACAAUGGAGGAAACUCUGAUGCAGCCAUGCCGCGUGCAGGAAGAAUGCCCUAUGGGUUGUAAACUGCUUUUAUACAAGAAGAAACCUCAGUACGUGUACUGACUUGACGGUAUUGUAUGAAUAAGCACCGGCUAACUCCGUGCCAGCAGCCGCGGUAAUACGGAGGGUGCAAGCGUUAUCCGGAUUUAUUAGGUUUAAAGGGUCCGCAGGCGGAAUAUUAAGUCAGUGGUGAAAGCCUACAGCUCA
RNAcentral lists this ribosomal RNA (544 nucleotides) under uncultured Bacteroidota bacterium. RNAcentral's name for it is "bacterial SSU rRNA". It matches the Rfam family "Bacterial small subunit ribosomal RNA", at positions 71 to 611 of the family's 1533-position model. Lineage: Bacteria; Pseudomonadati; Bacteroidota. The record is from RNAcentral.